RNAcentral lists this ribosomal RNA (466 nucleotides) under uncultured Enterococcus sp. RNAcentral's name for it is "bacterial SSU rRNA". It matches the Rfam family "Bacterial small subunit ribosomal RNA", at positions 338 to 795 of the family's 1533-position model. The record is from RNAcentral. Lineage: Bacteria; Bacillati; Bacillota; Bacilli; Lactobacillales; Enterococcaceae.
CCUACGGGAGGCUGCAGUAGGGAAUCUUCCGCAAUGGACGAAAGUCUGACGGAGCAACGCCGCGUGAGUGAAGAAGGUUUUCGGAUCGUAAAACUCUGUUGUUAGAGAAGAAUAAGGAUGAGAGUAGAAUGUUCAUCCCUUGACGGUAUCUAACCAGAAAGCCACGGCUAACUACGUGCCAGCAGCCGCGGUAAUACGUAGGUGGCAAGCGUUGUCCGGAUUUAUUGGGCGUAAAGCGAGCGCAGGCGGUUUCUUAAGUCUGAUGUGAAAGCCCCCGGCUUAACCGGGGAGGGUCAUUGGAAACUGGGAGACUUGAGUGCAGAAGAGGAGAGUGGAAUUCCAUGUGUAGCGGUGAAAUGCGUAGAUAUAUGGAGGAACACCAGUGGCGAAGGCGACUCUCUGGUCUGUAACUGACGCUGAGGCUCGAAAGCGUGGGGAGCAAACAGGAUUAGAUACCCGGGUAGUC